RNAcentral lists this long non-coding RNA (466 nucleotides) under Bos taurus (domestic cattle). RNAcentral's name for it is "long non-coding RNA NONBTAT021621". The record is from RNAcentral. Lineage: Eukaryota; Metazoa; Chordata; Mammalia; Artiodactyla; Bovidae.
AUGGCACCGAAGGUGAAGGAGGAAGCCCCUGCCCCUCCUAAAGCUGAAGCCAAAGCAAAGGCUUUGAAGGUCAAGAAAGCAGCGUUGAAAGGUGUCCACAGCAAAAAAAAGAAGAUCCGGAAGUUGCCCACCUUCCAGCGGCCCAAAACACUGCAGUUCGGGAGGCAGCCCAAAUAUCCCUGGAGGAGCGCCCCAGGAGAGACAAAGCUGACCACCAUGCCAUCAUCAAACUCCCCUCACCACCGGGUCAGCCACGGAGAAAUUAAAAGACAACAACACCCUGGUAUCCACUGUGGAUGUCAAGGCCAACAAGCACCAGGUUAAACAGGCUGUGGAGAAGCUCUGUGACACUGACGUGGCUGAGGUCAACACUCUGCUCAGGCCUGAUGGCGAGAAGAAGGCGUACGUUCGACUGGCUCCUGACUGUGAUGCUUUGGAUGUUGCCAACAGAAUUGGCAUCAUCUAA